GUAAGGCUAAAUACUCCCGAGAGACCGAUAGCGAACCAGUACCGUGAGGGAAAGGUGAAAAGCACUUCGAACAGAAGAGUGAAAUAGUUCCUGAAACCGUGCGCCUACAAGCGGUCGGAGCUCGUUAAUGAGUGACGGCGUGCCUUUUGCAUAAUGAACCUACGAGUUGCCUUUGCCGGCAAGGUUAAGUGUGACGACACACGUAUCCGAAGCGAAAGCGAGUCUGAACAGGGCGUAUAGUCGGCAGUGGCAGACGCGAAACCAAGUGAUCUACCCUUGGCCAGGUUGAAGGCUGGGUAACACCAGCUGGAGGACCGCACCAAUAAGCGUUGAAAAGCUUCUGGAUGAGCUGAGGGUAGGGGUGAAAGGCUAAUCAAACUUGGAGAUAGCUCGUACUCCCCGAAAUGCAUUUAGGUGCAGCCUUGCGGGUUACUGAUGUGAGGUAGAGCGACUGAUAAGAUGCGAGGGCUUCACCGCCUAUCAAGUCUUGACAAACUCCGAAUGCGCAUCAGUUCUACCGCAGGAGUGAGGGCAUGGGUGCUAAGGUCCGUGCCCGAGAGGAGAAGAAUCCGGACCACCUGCUAAGGUCCCGAAAUGACAGCUAAGUUAAACUAACGAAGUCUGACUGCUAAGACAGCUAGGAUGUUGGCUUGGAAGCAGCCAUUCAUUUAAAGAGUGCGUAACAGCUCACUAGUCGAGGAGUCGGGCGUGGAUAAUAAUCGGGUAUCAAGUUGUCUACCGAAGCAGUGGGAUCAUUGAUAUGAUCGGUAGGGGAGCAUUCCAGUCGGCGUCGAAGGCGUACCGUGAGGUAUUCUGGAGCGUCUGGAAAAGCAAAUGUAGGUAUAAGUAACGAUAAAGGGGGCGGGAAACCCCCUCGCCGAAAGACUAAGGUUUCCUGAUCAACGCUAAUCGGAUCAGGGUCAGUCGGGUCCUAAGGCUCAGCCGAACGGCGAUGCCGAUGGCAGAAACGGUUAAUAUUCCGUUACUACCUUCAGGAGUGACGUGGAGACGCAGUAGUGACAGUGCCGCCAUCUGACGGAAUAGAUGGUUGAAGGGUGUAGGAGUCGAUCAUGGCAGGCAAAUCCACCAUGAGAUCCGAACCUGAUAGUAUGCCGCGUCCUUCGGGACAAGGCAAUAGUGCGCGUAAGCAUGCUGCCGAGAAAAUCCGCUAAACUUAAUCCUGCAGGUACCCGUACCGCAAACGGACACACGUAGUCGGGAUGAAUAUUCUAAGGCGCUUGAGUGAUUCACGGUUAAGGAACUAGGCAAACUGACCCUGUAACUUCGGGAUAAAGGGUCCCUACCCUUUUAUGGGAGGGCGCAGAGAAUCGGUCCAGGCAACUGUUUAACAAAAACACAGGGCUGUGCCAAAUCGAAAGAUCCAGUAUACAGCCUGACACCUGCCCGGUGCUGGAAGGUUAAGAGGAGAUGUCAUCGAUAAGAGAAGCGUUGAAUUGAAGCCCCAGUAAACGGCGGCCGUAACUAUAACGGUCCUAAGGUAGCGAAAUUCCUUGUCGGGUAAGUUCCGACCUGCACGAAUGGUGUAAUGAUCUGGACGCUGUCUCAACCGUGAGCUCAGUGAAAUUGUAGUAUCGGUGAAGAUGCCGAUUACCCGCGAUGGGACGAAAAGACCCCGUGAACCUUUACUAUAGCUUAUCAUUGAAUCUGGGCACGUGAUGUGUAGGAUAGGUCGGAGGCUUUGAAGCAGGUACGCCAGUAUUUGUGGAGCCGCUGUUGAAAUACGACCCUUUAUUUGUUUGGAUUCUAACCCGUGGAACGGGGACAUUGAUUGGUGGGUAGUUUGACUGGGGUGGUCGCCUCCAAAAGCGUAACGGAGGCUUCUAAAGGUGCCCUCCGGCCGAUUGGUAACCGGCCUUAGAGUGUAAUGGCAUAAGGGCGCUUGACUGGGAGACUGACAAGUCGAUCAGGUAGGAAACUAGAGCAUAGUGAUCCGGUGUUUCCGUAUGGAAGGGACAUCGCUCAAAGGAUAAAAGGUACUCCGGGGAUAACAGGCUGAUCCCUCCCAAGAGCUCAUAUCGACGGAGUGGUUUGGCACCUCGAUGUCGGCUCGUCACAUCCUGGGGCUGGAGAAGGUCCCAAG
RNAcentral lists this ribosomal RNA (2101 nucleotides) under human gut metagenome. RNAcentral's name for it is "bacterial LSU rRNA". It matches the Rfam family "Bacterial large subunit ribosomal RNA", at positions 460 to 2569 of the family's 2925-position model. The record is from RNAcentral.